AUUGAACGCUGGCGGCAGGCUUAACACAUGCAAGUCGAGCGAGCGGCGGACGGGUGGGUAAUGUCUGGGAAACUGACUGAUGGAGGGGGAUAACUACUGGCAACGGUAGCUAAUCCCGCCUAACAUCGGAUGUGCCCAGAUGGGCUUGGAUAGUAGGUGGGGUAAUGGCUCACCUGGGCGGCGAUCCCUUGCUGGUCUGAGAGGAUGACCAUCCACACUGGAACUGAUGCACGGUCCAGACUCCUACGGUAGGAAGCAGUGGGGAAUAUUGCACAAUGGGCGCAAGCCUGAUGCAGCCAUGCCGCGUGUGUGAAGAAGGCCUUCGGGUUGUAAAGCACGUUCAGCGAGGAGGCGUUACUCGCAGAAGAAGCACCGGCUAACUCCGUGCCAGCAGCCGCGGUAAUAC
This 406-nucleotide ribosomal RNA is filed under the name uncultured bacterium. Its description in RNAcentral is "partial 16S ribosomal RNA". It matches the Rfam family "Bacterial small subunit ribosomal RNA", at positions 30 to 526 of the family's 1533-position model. The record is from RNAcentral.